This 460-nucleotide ribosomal RNA is filed under the name uncultured bacterium. RNAcentral's name for it is "partial 16S ribosomal RNA". It matches the Rfam family "Bacterial small subunit ribosomal RNA", at positions 338 to 795 of the family's 1533-position model. The record is from RNAcentral.
CCUACGGGAGGCAGCAGUGAGGAAUAUUGGUCAAUGGACGCGAGUCUGAACCAGCCAAGUAGCGUGCAGGAUGACGGCCCUACGGGUUGUAAACUGCUUUUAUUAGGGAAUAAAAUGAGGCACGUGUGCCUUUUUGUAUGUACUCCAUGAAUAAGGAGCGGCUAACUCCCUGCCAGCAGCCGCGGUAAUACGGAGGGUCCGCGCGUUAUCCGGAUUUAUUGGGUUUAAAGGGAGCGUAGAGGGCUUGUUAAGUCAGCUGUGAAAGUCCGCGGCUCAACCGUGGAAUUGCGGUUGAAACUGGCUGUCUUGAGUGCACGCAGGGUAGGCGGAAUUCGUGGUGUAGCGGUGAAAUGCUUAGAUAUCACGAAGAACUCCGAUUGCGAAGGCAGGUGACGGAAGUGCAACUGACGCUGAGGCUCGAAAGUGUGGGUAUCAAACAGGAUUAGAUACCCCAGUAGUC